Small nuclear RNA from Neoarius graeffei (lesser salmon catfish), 188 nucleotides. RefSeq annotates it as U2 spliceosomal RNA. The transcript has a single exon. The record is from RefSeq and is a predicted model, not a curated record. Lineage: Eukaryota; Metazoa; Chordata; Actinopteri; Siluriformes; Ariidae.
AUUUUUCCGCAUUUUGACCAGGCUCAAGUGUAGUAUUUAUUCUAAUCAAUUUAAUAUCUGAUUUGUUCUUUAAACGGGAGCGUUAUAUCAAGCAGAUUUUUUAGAGCUGGGAGAGGGAUUUGCUCUUUCGGCUCCAUAUACCCGCCUGAUGUUGCAGUACCUCUAUCUUUGUUUUAGGAAAAGUUUUU